AUUGAACGCUGGCGGCAGGCCUAACACAUGCAAGUCGAGCGGUAGCACAGAGAGCUUGCUCUCGGGUGACGAGCGGCGGACGGGUGAGUAAUGUCUGGGAAACUGCCUGAUGGAGGGGGAUAACUACUGGAAACGGUAGCUAAUACCGCAUAACGUCGCAAGACCAAAGUGGGGGACCUUCGGGCCUCAUGCCAUCAGAUGUGCCCAGAUGGGAUUAGCUAGUAGGUGGGGUAACGGCUCACCUAGGCGACGAUCCCUAGCUGGUCUGAGAGGACGACCAGCCACACUGGAACUGAGACACGGUCCAGACUCCUACGGGAGGCAGCAGUGGGGAAUAUUGCACAAUGGGCGCAAGCCUGAUGCAGCCAUGCCGCGUGUGUGAAGAAGGCCUUCGGGUUGUAAAGCACUUUCAGCGGGGAGGAAGGCGGUGAGGUUAAUAACCUCAUCGAUUGACGUUACCCGCAGAAGAAGCACCGGCUAACUCCGUGCCAGCAGCCGCGGUAAUACGGAGGGUGCAAGCGUUAAUCGGAAUUACUGGGCGUAAAGCGCACGCAGGCGGUCUGUCAAGUCGGAUGUGAAAUCCCCGGGCUCAACCUGGGAACUGCAUUCGAAACUGGCAGGCUAGAGUCUUGUAGAGGGGGGUAGAAUUCCAGGUGUAGCGGUGAAAUGCGUAGAGAUCUGGAGGAAUACCGGUGGCGAAGGCGGCCCCCUGGACAAAGACUGACGCUCAGGUGCGAAAGCGUGGGGAGCAAACAGGAUUAGAUACCCUGGUAGUCCACGCCGUAAACGAUGUCGAUUUGGAGGUUGUGCCCUUGAGGCGUGGCUUCCGGAGCUAACGCGUUAAAUCGACCGCCUGGGGAGUACGGCCGCAAGGUUAAAACUCAAAUGAAUUGACGGGGGCCCGCACAAGCGGUGGAGCAUGUGGUUUAAUUCGAUGCAACGCGAAGAACCUUACCUGGUCUUGACAUCCACAGAACUUUCCAGAGAUGGAUUGGUGCCUUCGGGAACUGUGAGACAGGUGCUGCAUGGCUGUCGUCAGCUCGUGUUGUGAAAUGUUGGGUUAAGUCCCGCAACGAGCGCAACCCUUAUCCUUUGUUGCCAGCGGUUAGGCCGGGAACUCAAAGGAGACUGCCAGUGAUAAACUGGAGGAAGGUGGGGAUGACGUCAAGUCAUCAUGGCCCUUACGACCAGGGCUACACACGUGCUACAAUGGCAUAUACAAAGAGAAGCGACCUCGCGAGAGCAAGCGGACCUCAUAAAGUAUGUCGUAGUCCGGAUUGGAGUCUGCAACUCGACUCCAUGAAGUCGGAAUCGCUAGUAAUCGUAGAUCAGAAUGCUACGGUGAAUACGUUCCCGGGCCU
RNAcentral lists this ribosomal RNA (1361 nucleotides) under uncultured bacterium. RNAcentral describes it as "bacterial SSU rRNA". It matches the Rfam family "Bacterial small subunit ribosomal RNA", at positions 28 to 1381 of the family's 1533-position model. The record is from RNAcentral.